GACGAACGCUGGCGGCGUGCUUAACACAUGCAAGUCGAACGGGCCUGCCUGGCUUUGGUUGGGUGGGUGAGUGGCGAACGGGUGAGUAACACGUGAGUAACCUGCCCUCUUCUCUUGGAUAACUGCUUGAAAGGGCGGCUAAUACGGGAUGUUCUGGCUGCCUCGCAUGGGGUGGUCUGGAAAGAUUCGGCCUGGUUUUGGUUGUUUUGGUGGGGGAUGGGCUCGCGGCUUAUCAGCUUGUUGGUGGGGUGAUGGCCUACCAAGGCGGUGACGGGUAGCCGGCCUGAGAGGGUGGACGGUCACACUGGGACUGAGACACGGCCCAGACUCCUGCGGGAGGCAGCAGUGGGGGAUUUUGCACAAUGGGCGCAAGCCUGAUGCAGCGACGCCGCGUGAGGGAUGGAGGCCUUCGGGUUGUGAACCUCUGUCGCCGGUGAUGUAGGCUCUGCUUUGUGGGUGGGGUUGAC
Molecule: ribosomal RNA, 467 nt
Filed under: Actinomyces sp. oral taxon 448
Lineage: Bacteria; Bacillati; Actinomycetota; Actinomycetes; Actinomycetales; Actinomycetaceae
Description: bacterial SSU rRNA
Rfam family: Bacterial small subunit ribosomal RNA
Source: RNAcentral